This 460-nucleotide ribosomal RNA is filed under the name uncultured bacterium. RNAcentral's name for it is "partial 16S ribosomal RNA". It matches the Rfam family "Bacterial small subunit ribosomal RNA", at positions 338 to 795 of the family's 1533-position model. The record is from RNAcentral.
CCUACGGGUGGCAGCAGUGAGGAAUAUUGGUCAAUGGCCGCGAGCCUGAACCAGCCAAGUCGCGUGAAGGACGACUGUCCCACGCGUUGUAAACUUCUUUUAUCAAGGAAUAAAGUCAGGCUCGAGUGCCUGUCCGAGGGUACUUUAUGAAAAAGGAUCGGCUAACUCCGUGCCAGCAGCCGCGGUAAUACGGAGGAUCCGAGCGUUAUCCGGAUUGAUUGGGGUUAAAGGGCGCGUAGGUGGGUUGUUAAGUCAGGUGUGAAAGUUUGGGGCUCAACCGUAAAAGUGCAAUUGAUACUGGCAGACUUGAGUACAGUUGAGGUAGGCGGAAUGCGUGGUGUAGCGGUGAAAUGCUUAGAUAUCACGAAGAACUCCGAUUGCGAAGGCAGCCUACUAAACUGCCACUGACAUUGAUGCUCGAAAGUGUGGGUAUCAAACAGGAUUAGAUACCCGGGUAGUC